This 935-nucleotide unclassified non-coding RNA is filed under the name Hevea brasiliensis (rubber tree). Lineage: Eukaryota; Viridiplantae; Streptophyta; Magnoliopsida; Malpighiales; Euphorbiaceae. The record is from RNAcentral.
UGAGAAGCGAGCUACAGCAACUGUGAGGGUCUCAAAUAUACCCCAAUCUGCUAUAGCUAAAGAUCUUUCCAACUUCUUCGACUCUUUAAUCGGCAAAGGAUCAGUCUUUGCCUGUGAUAUUCACUCUGAGCAUAAGAAUUGGAAAUCGAGAGGCCAUGGUAGAGUUCAAUUCGAGACGUUGCAAGACAAAUUACACUGUUUAUCACUAGCGGAGCAAGGGAAUCUUCUCUUUAAAGGGCACCAACUCUCACUGGUCUCGUCUUUCGAUGAUAUCAUUACAAGGCCCGUGGAACCUAAGUGCAGAUUCCAGGCCGGAAUCUUGCAUACUGGGUUACUGGUCGAGAAAGAUGUUAUGCAGGUUUUGGAGACUUGGGAAGAUGUGAAAACAUUGAUCAUGCCGGAAAGGAAGUGUCUUGAGUUUUGGGUUAGUCAUGCAGAGGAGUGUUAUAGGUUGGAGGUACAGUUUGGCGAUGUUACCGAGGGUACUCUGUGCUCUGUGGAAAACCAAAAAUCUGCACUUCUUUUGAAGCUAAAACAUGCACCAAAGCUAUACCAAAGAGUUUCUGGACCUGCAGUUGCUUCCAAGUUCAGUGCUGACAGGUAUCAUAUCUGCAAGGAAGAUUGUGAGUUUCUUUGGAUUCGCACGACUGAUUUUUCCAACAUAAAGUCUAUUGGAUGUUCAUCCUCUCUUUGCUGGGAAACUGAAGACGGAUGGUUAAGUUCAGAUUUGUUUUCUAGUUUGCCAUGUUGCAACCAGGAUGUGAUAGAUCUUGAUCUGGAUAAAGUAGGAGAUAUUUAUUCUGGUUCUGAAUUUGUUCCCCUUGUGAGGAUCCCAUCAGAUCUGAAGCUACCUUACGAGAUCCUUUUCCAGCUUAACUCCCUCGUACAGACUCAAAAAAUUAGUCUUGGUGCUAUUAAUCCAAAUCUCAUCGAAG